RNAcentral lists this ribosomal RNA (490 nucleotides) under uncultured bacterium. Its description in RNAcentral is "partial 16S ribosomal RNA". It matches the Rfam family "Bacterial small subunit ribosomal RNA", at positions 30 to 507 of the family's 1533-position model. The record is from RNAcentral.
AUUGAACGCUGGCGGCAGGCUUAACACAUGCAAGUCGAGCGGUAGCACAAGAGAGCUUGCUCUCUGGGUGACGAGCGGCGGACGGGUGAGUAAUGUCUGGGAAACUGCCUGAUGGAGGGGGAUAACUACUGGAAACGGUAGCUAAUACCGCAUAACGUCGCAAGACCAAAGAGGGGGACCUUCGGGCCUCUUGCCAUCAGAUGUGCCCAGAUGAGAUUAGCUAGUAGGUGGGGUAAUGGCUCACCUAGGCGACGAUCCCUAGCUGGUCUGAGAGGAUGACCAGCCACACUGGAACUGAGACACGGUCCAGACUCCUACGGGAGGCAGCAGUGGGGAAUAUUGCACAAUGGGCGCAAGCCUGAUGCAGCCAUGCCGCGUGUGUGAAGAAGGCCUUCGGGUUGUAAAGCACUUUCAGCGAGGAGGAAGGUGGUGAACUUAAUACGUUCAUCAAUUGACGUUACUCGCAGAAGAAGCACCGGCUAACUCCGUG